Brienomyrus brachyistius is the source of this 3089-nucleotide long non-coding RNA. RefSeq lists it as uncharacterized. The transcript has 7 exons. NCBI's taxonomy places the organism in Eukaryota, Metazoa, Chordata, Actinopteri, Osteoglossiformes, Mormyridae. The record is from RefSeq and is a predicted model, not a curated record.
GUCCCGGAACGUGCCGCAGUGUGACGUGGGCCAGUCUGAGGACCUGAGGGCUGCGGAGAAGCGGUGCAGCGUUUAAGGAAACGGGCGUAGUUAGCAAUCUCUGCGCAUGAACGCCCGAGAAAACAAGAGAGGAUGCCUGGCGGGGGCCCUCGGAUGGUGCUCGCCGAUGUGGCCCUGCCCUAGUCUGACCCCCCCUGACCCCCCCACAUUCCAGGAUGACGUGCUGGCAGGUUUCCAGGCAUGAAGUUCCUCCCAUCCCCCAUCUCAAGACGGCCGCCGUAUCAUGGUGAAUAAUCCUUGAGGCAACAGCUGUUCUGACAUCUUCAAACGACUGCUGUCCUACACGAUCCGAGCUUCAAAUGCCACGAUAAGCAUCUAACCAGCUGCAGCAGCUACAGUCCUCCAGAGCGUGUCCCAGGAUGCAAAGCGUGCAAGGCAUGCCUGUGCAAGGUAUGUUUCAGCAUUCACUCCUAUCAGCUGAGGGCGGCAGUUACACUCCAGCACCCCCGCCGGUACAUGAACAGCAGCUGAACCCCACUGAGCACACCUGACCCGGGGAAUCACCUGCAAAGCAUCACUCUCUGGCACGCCUCCAAGAAAGCACCCUUUGUGCUCAGUCUGCGGUGCCUUCAUCGUCCCGCUGGAAACUUCACCCACGCCUGAGCCCCACCAAGAAGGAGCAGCGUGGAGAAGGAGGCCCGUUUGGCUGCCGUGAGAUGCUCAGCGGCGUGGCCAGGACACCUGGGCGGCUGCUUUAAUUAAAAGGAGGCAGUGUACGUUCCGUUCGAUCUCCUCACCGCUGUUUCCCAAAGCUGCGGAGAGAUGGGGUGCCUUCAGAGAAGACUGCUACAGGUCAGCUAUAGCAGGACAUGUCAUGUCUUUAUGGGACAGACGCCGGAGAAUUCCCUGGUACUCCAUUUAGUUACUGAGGAGCAAAAAUAAAUAAAUUUUCACCCUGCCCCUAUUUUGUUUUUGAGAUGGGAUUGCAGUACAGUAUUGGGGACCAAAACUCACUCAGUCCAAAGAAAUUGUCUGGGAAAAAUCUGUGGACUGAGUGAGUUUUGGGAAUCUGCUAUUCAGCUGUGUUUUCCAUUUUAGCAGCAACCAGCACUAAGAAGUCAUUUUCUUAGCUUUAAAGUAGUCUUUGAUUCGUAAUGCCGGAGUUUACCCAUGGAGCCUUUUUUUUGGGGGGGAAAAAAUGCGCUUGAACUGCUUGUUCCUUUAAAGUUUUGGCCAUACCUGAGAAAAUAAAUGAGGCCCUCUCCUCUCCGCCCGUCGCUCCCGGAGAGCGGAGGAGUGCGUCCCCGCUGAAGCAGCCCUGCAUUGUGUUUCAGCCGCGUUGCUCUAUUGUUCUUGCCGCUUAUGAAGAGCUUCACUUCAAAGCUUCCCCGUCUCUCUUUUUAAUUAAAAUAUGUGCUGGUAUUUUGGGCAAAAUAAUAAUAAUAAUAAAAAUAGUAAUUUCAUCAGAAAGUCACAGAUGAAAGUCAAACUGCCUUUUCCCAGGAAUCCCUCAGAUUCGGCACGAGGAUCCUUUGUUCCCUAAUUUCCUAUUUGCAGAUUUGCUCGGGUGAGAGCUUUUUCUUGGGGGCUAAAGCACCCCCCCCUCCCCGCCCCCACACACCUUUUCAUCGGAGGCCGCAGGGCCCCUCCAGCACGCCAGGACAAUGCAGGUAUUUCAAGAGAUGUUACAGAACAAAGCUUGUUAACUUUCAUCCUGAAUACUGACACUCACCUCAUGUGCUGACAUCACGGAACGGUACAAUUUUUUUUUUUUUGCACAUUUAAAAUAGUACGACAAAUAAUGACUUUAGUCGUGAUACGAAAAAAAAACAACAAAGAAUUCUGGUAGUAGGCACAAAAAAAUCCUCUCUGAGCGUAAACGUUCUUGAUAUAUAAAUCUCCCCGGAAUGGUUGAUGCUGCACUAAAGUGAAAUAAUGCAAUCAGUGCGGAGCUGCUGGAGUCACUGGUGUCAUCCAAACUAUAACUUAAGUAUAUUUAUGAAUGAAAUUUAUUGGGCAGCUCAUGUCCUUUUUGAAUAUACAUUGUUAUUGUACUGUAGCUCACGGUGUUUUACAAACGGAGUGUGAUGUCCUAUCAUAAUCAGCCAGCAUUCGCCAUACACUUCAUUUAAACCCCAAAUCGCAUAAAUCUUACAGACGCUUAUAACACACUGACAAGGCGCCACUCAAUGUUUCGAACCCAUCGCCCCUCAGACGCCCUGAUGUGGUCGGAUGGAUACACUCUCACCACAUGCUGCGCCUGAGUUAAUGCAUUAUGAAUGUUGACAAGUGCGUGCGUGUAAAUCACAGGGUGAACAUUGGGGGGCCCCUGCUCAGCGCUAUGACAACACAUAUGGCGGCGGUAUGAAAAAUAGAUGGGCCGUGUUGGAUGCUAACAGCUUGUAUGAUGCUAAAGCCAAUUGUCUUUGAAAAAUUUAUGUCCUCCUUUUUUUUCCCCCCGUUACAGGAAGCCCACGUAUCGGUCUCUGUGCCCAUGACGCUGUCACAUGAUCUCAGGGCCUUCUGCUUUCCAAGGGCCAUGCGAUAUGAGCCAGGAAGCUUUCACUGACGUUGGGGAUGAUAAGGAGAGGAACGGGACCUAACUGCUGGCAGUGAACUUUCUCCUGCUUAAAUAGGGGGAAAAAAAGAAUUAUCCAUCCAUCCAUUCAUCCAUCCAUCAAUCCAUCCAACCACUGCGGAGAGCCUGGAGCCUAUUACAGGCAGCCUAGGGCACAGGACAGGGGAUAACCCUGGAUAUCAGAAAAAAAUUAAUUAUUGAUUAUGUUAUUUCAGCCACAUCGGUGGCUUUACUCCACGACUCACUGACUAACUCAAGGCUUUAACAUUUUAUGUCUGCUAUGAAAGAUGUAGAUACUUAUUGUCACAGAGAAAAUAUGGGUCACCUGUAUGAAUUUAAUUAUGAGGCAUCUAUAUACUGAAAUCAUUAUGACACGAUAAAGCUGGAUUUCUGCUCGGGCAGAUGGGGCACCACAAACCCACAGGACCCCAAGCUAAGCCCUGCGUGCUUUAUAACAAAUGCUAUGCACAUGCUGGUUAAUUUAUGUAUUAAAUUAUAAUGUAAAACAUCA